AGGAUGAACGCUGGCGGUCUGCUUAACACAUGCAAGUCGAACGGAGUACCUCGGUACUUAGUGGCGGACGGGUGAGUAACGCGUGAGAAUCUGCCCUUAGGUCGGGGACAACCAUUGGAAACGAUGGCUAAUACCGGAUAAGCCGAGAGGUAAAAGAUUAAUUGCCUAGGGAAGAGCUCGCGUCUGAUUAGCUAGUUGGUGAGGUAAAGGCUCACCAAGGCAUCGAUCAGUAGCUGGUCUGAGAGGAUGAUCAGCCACACUGGGACUGAGACACGGCCCAGACUCCUACGGGAGGCAGCAGUGGGGAAUUUCCGCAAUGGGCGAAAGCCUGACGGAGCAAGACCGCGUGAGGGAGGAAGGCUCUUGGGUUGUAAACCUCUUUUCUUGGGGAAGAACAAAUGACGGUACCAAGGAAUCAGCAUCGGCUAACUCCGCGCCAGCAGCCGC
Molecule: ribosomal RNA, 447 nt
Filed under: uncultured bacterium
Lineage: Bacteria
Description: SSU rRNA
Rfam family: Bacterial small subunit ribosomal RNA
Source: RNAcentral